This 442-nucleotide ribosomal RNA is filed under the name uncultured bacterium. RNAcentral's name for it is "partial 16S ribosomal RNA". It matches the Rfam family "Bacterial small subunit ribosomal RNA", at positions 338 to 795 of the family's 1533-position model. The record is from RNAcentral.
CCUACGGGAGGCUGCAGUAGGGAAUCUUUCACAAUGGGCGAAAGCCUGAUGGAGCAACGCCGCGUGCAGGAUGAAGGCCUUCGGGUUGUAAACUGCUUUUAUAAGCGAGAAAUAUGAUGGUAACUUAUGAAUAAGGAUCGGCUAACUACGUGCCAGCAGCCGCGGUCAUACGUAGGAUCCGAGCAUUAUCCGGAGUGACUGGGUGUAAAGAGUUGCGUAGGUGGCAUAAUAAGUAGCUAGUGAAAUCUGGUGGCUCAACCAUUCAGCCUAUUAGCUAAACUGUUAAGCUCGAGACCGUUAGGGGUAACUGGAAUUUCUAGUGUAGGAGUGAAAUCCGUAGAUAUUAGAAGGAACACCAAUAGCGUAGGCAGGUUGCUGGGACGGUUCUGACACUAAGACACGAAAGCGUAGGGAGCAAACGGGAUUAGAUACCCCAGUAGUC